RNAcentral lists this microRNA precursor (124 nucleotides) under Hordeum vulgare. RNAcentral's name for it is "microRNA MIR1122". It matches the Rfam family "MIR1120/MIR1122 microRNA precursor family". The record is from RNAcentral. Lineage: Eukaryota; Viridiplantae; Streptophyta; Magnoliopsida; Poales; Poaceae.
UAAGUACUCCCUUCGUCCGGAAAUAUUUGUCUUAGAAAUGGAUAUAACAAAUGUAUCUAUAACUAAAAUAAGUCUAGAUACAUUCAUCAUUAGGACAAGUAUUUUCGGAGGGAGGGAGUAGAUU